RNAcentral lists this ribosomal RNA (253 nucleotides) under uncultured bacterium. RNAcentral's name for it is "partial 16S ribosomal RNA". It matches the Rfam family "Bacterial small subunit ribosomal RNA", at positions 524 to 776 of the family's 1533-position model. The record is from RNAcentral.
UACGUAGGGUGCAAGCGUUAAUCGGAAUUACUGGGCGUAAAGCGCACGUAGGCGGUUUUUUAAGUCAGAUGUGAAAGCCCCGGGCUCAACCUGGGAAUUGCAUUUGAAACUGGGAAACUAGAGUGUGUGAGAGGGGGGUAGAAUUCCAAGUGUAGCGGUGAAAUGCGUAGAGAUUUGGAGGAACACCAGUGGCGAAGGCGGCCCCCUGGCACAACACUGACGCUCAGGUGCGAAAGCGUGGGGAGCAAACAGG